RNAcentral lists this ribosomal RNA (436 nucleotides) under Miturgidae sp. Queensland MR629. Its description in RNAcentral is "partial 16S ribosomal RNA". The record is from RNAcentral. Lineage: Eukaryota; Metazoa; Arthropoda; Arachnida; Araneae; Miturgidae.
UUUUAUAAGUAUUUAUUUAUAAUAAAAUCUGCUCAAUGAAAUUUAAAUAGCCGCAUAAUUUGUGCUAAGGUAGCAUAAUAACUUGUUUUUUAAAUGAAAACUAGAACAAAAGAUUUAACAUUUUAAUUAAUUUCUUCAAUUUUUCUUUAAAAUUAUUCUAAAUGUAAAAAAACAUUUAUUAAAUAGAAAGACGACAAGACCCUAUUGAACUUUACUAUAGUUAAAUUGGGGCAAUUAAUUAUUUAUUAUUAUUAUUAUUUAAAUUACAAAAGAUCCUAUAUAAUAGAUCAAUUAAUCAAGUUACCAUAGGGAUAACAGCAUAAUAUAUUUCUAUAGUUCAUAUAUAAUAAAUAAUUUAUGACCUCGAUGUUGAAUAAUUAUCUAGUUUAAAGUAAAAAUUAACUAAGAAAGUCUGUUCGACUUUUAAAAAAUUACA